AGAAAUUGGUGCAGCUCUCUUGAUGCUGUCAAUAUGGGUUGUUUCAUAAACAGGCGGAUCACUUGAGUAAAAUUCCAACUCAUGAUUUGGUAAAUCAAACAGGUCUGAACUUGAAUCACUAUCUGCUCCAUCAUCAACAUCACUGAUUUUUCUGAAUUCAUUUUCUUCUGAUGGAUACUUAUCUGCCCAGUUGAUCUCUGAAUAUCCAUUCCUGAACUUGAAUUUUUCAUCCAACCAUGAAGAAGAAUAAUCAUUCUUGACGUUUCCAUUAAAUUUUUGCACAGAAAUAAUUUGCUUAUAAUCUGAAAAGUUUCUGAUUUCUUUAUACGAUUUUGUGGGAGUAUUUGCAUGAGGAGGAGGUGUUCUAAAACCUGAACUUGAAGAUGAGUAAAAGGACUUAGAAUCUGUAGUACUGCUUGCUGUUCUAAAAUGGCUAAUGCUACUUCUUCUCUUCCUUCUUCCACCAGGGCUUUCUUCUUCAUCCUUAGCCGUUUUGGCCCCGAUUUUUGAUUUCUUCUUUUUUAGUGAAGCCUGAUUGAAUAGGGAAUUCAAGAAAUGAGCAAGUCUACCACCUGGAGAGCUAGGUUGCUUGUUUUUCUUCUCUUUCAAGUUUUGCUUUUCCAUUGCAUAAGUUUGUGAUGGAAUUGAACUUCUUGUGAUAGGCAUUUCUAGGCUUAUUUGAGCAGUUCGGGGAACAGAUGUCUUUUGCGCCGAAGUUGCGCCACUGGCUGGAACUUCAUCGGUGCCACCACCGGAAAAGUAUCGGGCAGCCUCGAAAACAUCGAGCUC
This 789-nucleotide long non-coding RNA is filed under the name Olea europaea (common olive). RNAcentral's name for it is "long non-coding RNA (OEUR_LNC011483)". The record is from RNAcentral. Lineage: Eukaryota; Viridiplantae; Streptophyta; Magnoliopsida; Lamiales; Oleaceae.